RNAcentral lists this ribosomal RNA (470 nucleotides) under uncultured bacterium. RNAcentral describes it as "bacterial SSU rRNA". It matches the Rfam family "Bacterial small subunit ribosomal RNA", at positions 28 to 499 of the family's 1533-position model. The record is from RNAcentral.
GAUGAACGCUGGCGGCGUGCUUAACACAUGCAAGUCGAACGGGGAUUAUUUCAUUGAAGCUUCGGCAGAUUUGGCUUAAUCCUAGUGGCGGACGGGUGAGUAACGCGUGGGUAACCUGCCUUGUACAGGGGGAUAACAGUCAGAAAUGACUGCUAAUACCGCAUAAGCGCACAGGACCGCAUGGUCCGGUGUGAAAAACUCCGGUGGUAUAAGAUGGACCCGCGUUGGAUUAGCUAGUUGGCAGGGUAACGGCCUACCAAGGCGACGAUCCAUAGCCGGCCUGAGAGGGUGAACGGCCACAUUGGGACUGAGACACGGCCCAGACUCCUACGGGAGGCAGCAGUGGGGAAUAUUGCACAAUGGGGGAAACCCUGAUGCAGCGACGCCGCGUGAAGGAAGAAGUAUCUCGGUAUGUAAACUUCUAUCAGCAGGGAAGAAAAUGACGGUACCUGACUAAGAAGCCCCGGCUA